AACUCAUGCUGUGGACACUGACGAAUCAACCCCUUAUAGCUUUCCCAAGCCUCAUAGUAGCACUUCAAGUCAAGCUGAUAGAAUGUAGUGAUUUCAUCCCUCAACUU
Molecule: small nucleolar RNA, 107 nt
Filed under: Olea europaea subsp. europaea
Lineage: Eukaryota; Viridiplantae; Streptophyta; Magnoliopsida; Lamiales; Oleaceae
Description: Plant small nucleolar RNA R71
Rfam family: Plant small nucleolar RNA R71
About the family: R71 is a member of the C/D box family of snoRNAs containing the C (UGAUGA) and D (CUGA) box motifs. Multiple nearly identical copies of this snoRNA have been identified in Arabidopsis, and it is thought to function as a 2'-O-ribose methylation guide for 18S ribosomal RNA.
Source: Rfam by way of RNAcentral